AUGAAGAUAAGCCCUUACUCGGAAGAUGAUAUGCUUGGAGUUGAGCCACUCCAACUGCAUUUUCUUUUUGAGCUUAAAAAACAGAUGUCGUGUGCACUUCAGCUAACCAAUGGGACAGAUUCUUACAUUGCUUUCAACAUUGAAAAUACGAGUCCCCUAUCAUACUUCACACAGCCGCAGAAAGGUAUUGUGCCGCCACGAUCCAUGUGGUGUGUUGAGAUAACAAUGCAGUUGCAGGGCAAGGCUCCGGGAUACAUGCGUCGUGCCAAUGAACUUAUUGUAUGGAGCACCAAAGCAAAUGAUUGCCUUGUAGUUGAGGAUAUAACUACAAACAUGUUCAUUAAUGAGGCGGUCAACGUGGUUGAUGACGUGAAUUUGGAUGUGGUUUUUGUUGUCUAUGAGCCACAGGAAGCAAGUAAGGAAACCAGUGUGACAAUCCGACCUUUAAUAGAGUGUUGA
Molecule: ribosomal RNA, 459 nt
Filed under: Triticum aestivum (bread wheat)
Lineage: Eukaryota; Viridiplantae; Streptophyta; Magnoliopsida; Poales; Poaceae
Description: partial small subunit ribosomal RNA
Source: RNAcentral